GACGAACCGUGCGAACGUUGUUCGGAAUCACUGGGCAUAAAGGGCGCGUAGGCGGCUUAUCAAGUCAGGGGUGAAAUCCGGCAGCUUAACUGUCGAAGUGCCUUUGAUACUAACGAGCUCGAGGGAGAUAGGGGUGUGUGGAACUUCCGGUGGAGCGGUGAAAUGCGUUGAUAUCGGAAGGAACGCCGGUGGCGAAAGCGACACACUGGAUCUCUUCUGACGCUGAGGCGCGAAAGCCAGGGGAGCAAACGGG
RNAcentral lists this ribosomal RNA (253 nucleotides) under uncultured bacterium. RNAcentral describes it as "partial 16S ribosomal RNA". It matches the Rfam family "Bacterial small subunit ribosomal RNA", at positions 524 to 776 of the family's 1533-position model. The record is from RNAcentral.